RNAcentral lists this ribosomal RNA (497 nucleotides) under uncultured bacterium. RNAcentral's name for it is "partial 16S ribosomal RNA". It matches the Rfam family "Bacterial small subunit ribosomal RNA", at positions 28 to 507 of the family's 1533-position model. The record is from RNAcentral.
GAUGAACGCUGGCGGCGUGCCUAAUACAUGCAAGUCGAGCGAACAGACGAGGAGCUUGCUCCUCUGACGUUAGCGGCGGACGGGUGAGUAACACGUGGAUAACCUACCUAUAAGACUGGGAUAACUUCGGGAAACCGGAGCUAAUACCGGAUAAUAUUUUAAACCCCAUGGUUAAUAAGUAAAAACGGUUUUUCCUGUACUUAUUAGAGGAUCCCGCGCCGAAUUAGCUAGUUGGUAAGGUAACGCCUUACCAAGGCAACGAUGCGUAGCCGACCUGAGAGGGUGAUCGGCCACACUGGAACUGAGACACGGUCCAGACUCCUACGGGAGGCAGCAGUAGGGAAUCUUCCGCAAUGGGCGAAAGCCUGACGGAGCAACGCCGCGUGAGUGAUGAAGGUCUUCGGAUCGUAAAACUCUGUUAUUAGGGAAGAACAAAUGUGUAAGUAACUAUGCACGUCUUGACGGUACCUAAUCAGAAAGCCACGGCUAACUACGUG